Molecule: ribosomal RNA, 492 nt
Filed under: uncultured bacterium
Lineage: Bacteria
Description: partial 16S ribosomal RNA
Rfam family: Bacterial small subunit ribosomal RNA
Source: RNAcentral
AGUGAACGCUGGCGGUAGGCCUAACACAUGCAAGUCGAACGGCAGCACAGUAAGAGCUUGCUCUUACGGGUGGCGAGUGGCGGACGGGUGAGGAAUACAUCGGAAUCUACUUUUUCGUGGGGGAUAACGUAGGGAAACUUACGCUAAUACCGCAUACGACCUACGGGUGAAAGCAGGGGAUCUUCGGACCUUGCGCGAUUGAAUGAGCCGAUGUCGGAUUAGCUAGUUGGCGGGGUAAAGGCCCACCAAGGCGACGAUCCGUAGCUGGUCUGAGAGGAUGAUCAGCCACACUGGAACUGAGACACGGUCCAGACUCCUCCGGGAGGCAGCAGUGGGGAAUAUUGGACAAUGGGCGCAAGCCUGAUCCAGCCAUACCGCGUGGGUGAAGAAGGCCUUCGGGUUGUAAAGCCCUUUUGUUGGGAAAGAAAAGCAGCAGGUUAAUACCCCGCUGUUCUGACGGUACCCAAAGAAUAAGCACCGGCUAACUUCGUG